RNAcentral lists this transfer RNA (68 nucleotides) under bovine gut metagenome. It matches the Rfam family "tRNA". Rfam says of the family: Transfer RNA (tRNA) molecules are approximately 80 nucleotides in length. Their secondary structure includes four short double-helical elements and three loops (D, anti-codon, and T loops). Further hydrogen bonds mediate the characteristic L-shaped molecular structure. tRNAs have two regions of fundamental functional importance: the anti-codon, which is responsible for specific mRNA codon recognition, and the 3' end, to which the tRNAs corresponding amino acid is attached (by aminoacyl-tRNA synthetases). tRNAs cope with the degeneracy of the genetic code in two manners: having more than one tRNA (with a specific anti-codon) for a particular amino acid; and 'wobble' base-pairing, i.e. permitting non-standard base-pairing at the 3rd anti-codon position. The record is from RNAcentral.
CGGCGUGGCUCAAUGGCAGAGCAACUGAUUUGUAAUCAGUAGGUUGCUGGUUCGACUCCGGCCGCCGG